GAGAGAUUGUUGAGGACAAAUGAGGAGAGGAAGAGAGAGAUUGUUUACGAUAAAUGUGGAGAGAGAAAGAGAGAUUGUUGAGGAUAGUGGGAAGAUGUAAGGUAUUUUUGGAAUAAAAGAAAAUAGUGAGGACACUAGUGGAAAAAUACUUUUCUAUAACGAACCUAUUAUGACGGAUAAAAAUUAUCCAUUAUCAUAGUG
RNAcentral lists this long non-coding RNA (201 nucleotides) under Vigna radiata. RNAcentral describes it as "long non-coding RNA (VRAD_LNC010315)". The record is from RNAcentral. Lineage: Eukaryota; Viridiplantae; Streptophyta; Magnoliopsida; Fabales; Fabaceae.